RNAcentral lists this ribosomal RNA (450 nucleotides) under uncultured bacterium. RNAcentral's name for it is "partial 16S ribosomal RNA". It matches the Rfam family "Bacterial small subunit ribosomal RNA", at positions 354 to 796 of the family's 1533-position model. The record is from RNAcentral.
GUGGGGAAUAUUGGACAAUGGGCGCAAGCCUGAUCCAGCCAUACCGCGUGGGUGAAGAAGGCCUUCGGGUUGUAAAGCCCUUUUGUUGGGAAAGAAAUCCUGUCGAUUAAUACUCGGUGGGGAUGACGGUACCCAAAGAAUAAGCACCGGCUAACUUCGUGCCAGCAGCCGCGGUAAUACGAAGGGUGCAAGCGUUACUCGGAAUUACUGGGCGUAAAGCGUGCGUAGGUGGUGGUUUAAGUCUGCUGUGACAGCCCUGGGCUCAACCUGGGAAUUGCAGUGGAUACUGGAUCACUAGAGUGUGGUAGAGGGAUGCGGAAUUUCUGGUGUAGCAGUGAAAUGCGUAGAGAUCAGAAGGAACAUCCGUGGCGAAGGCGGCAUCCUGGGCCAACACUGACACUGAGGCACGAAAGCGUGGGGAGCAAACAGGAUUAGAUACCCGGGUAGUCC